Bolinopsis microptera is the source of this 1012-nucleotide long non-coding RNA. RefSeq lists it as uncharacterized. The transcript is spliced from 2 exons. The record is from RefSeq and is a predicted model, not a curated record. Lineage: Eukaryota; Metazoa; Ctenophora; Tentaculata; Lobata; Bolinopsidae.
UUACUUUUAAAAACAAACUACAUACAUAUCUCACAUUUGCGAGGACUACUUCAUCACAAGCAAAAAAUCGACAUUGGUAAAUAAAGGUCUGUCUUCUAUAACCACGAUGAAAAGAAAAGCUGGGCGAAAACAUUUGAGACUGCAGAUUGCAGAACUGGAACACUCUAUUUGAAGACAGUGGCUGCUGAGUGCUGAGCUGCAUCAAAUCUAUCAGCAUCAUGUAACUUCGAUCAGGAACAGACUCCAUUUCAUUUCCGACAACUAGCACCUGUUUUCCCUAGACUUACCAAGUAUUAAGUAACUGCAUUAGUAUUAGGUUAAAUUAAAGGCCCUACAUCGAACAAGUCUAACAAUUAAAACUUAAAUGCAAGAGUGCACAAUUUAUCACUAAAUAUCUUCCUCUUUUAAUUCUAAUCAACACACGGUUUCGUCUUUGUUUCACCCAAUCGUGCUGAUAAUCAGUAAUCAUGCACUCUGCACUCUAACUUCGAGAUGUUUCAAAAGGGCUCCCGACGAGUUGAAUUAGAUCAAUAUUUUCUUUUGAUACAUAGAUACUGAUUGGGAGGUUCAUCAUACUAUUCUUGUCACAUGGUAACGAUUAACGAUUAGCUGAUCAGCUUCCAGCAUCGACAGGCCGAAAUCCAUAAAUAUAAUCAGUUGUAAUUUAAUAUUUAUCAUCGUCCGGAUCAUCAUAAUAUUUUAAUUUAAAGUUACAAUUGAACGGUGUUAAGAAAGAUAAUUUAAGAGAAAUGUUUUGAAAGUGCCUGAUUUCGAGUAUAAGAUCUGUACUGAUACAUUAAUUUUCAGAUUGUUAUUAUAGUUUAUUUGUAUUUUUUAUAUUAUCUUAUCCGCACAAGUUCGGAAGCCAUCUGAACGCUAUUGCCAGACACAGGCAUAUAUUUAUUUUGGGGUAUCAUGCUCUCAGAAAUUUCAACUCAGUCCGAUAUUAUAGUUAUACUAACCUGCAUUGCAUAAGGUUAAUUGUCUCGCAGUCUAGUGCAUAAACCUUUUA